UACGAAGGGGGCGAGCGUUGUUCGGAAUUACUGGGCGUAAAGGGCGCGCAGGCGGCUCUGAAAGUCAGAUGUGAAAGCCCCGGGCUUAACCUGGGAACUGCAUUUGAUACUCUGGAGCUUGAGUACGGGAGAGGAGAGUGGAAUUCCCAGUGUAGAGGUGAAAUUCGUAGAUAUUGGGAAGAACACCAGUGGCGAAGGCGGCCGGCUGGGGGCGCCCUGACGCUGAGGCGCGAGAGCGUGGGGAGCGAACCGG
This 253-nucleotide ribosomal RNA is filed under the name uncultured bacterium. Its description in RNAcentral is "partial 16S ribosomal RNA". It matches the Rfam family "Bacterial small subunit ribosomal RNA", at positions 524 to 776 of the family's 1533-position model. The record is from RNAcentral.